AAGAACCUAUUCCUACAAUAACACCAAAACAGAUCCACAUGACCCCUGUACGUUUCUUCUUCUUCAACGGGACGAACCCAAAAACGAAACCUAGAACAAUCGCUACCCGAAUCCCACUCCAAUGUCAUUUUCUCCCUCUCUCCCUCAUCCCCUCUGUACAUGAGCAGUGCUAGGUGGAAGAAUCUCCUCCUAUAACGUCCUUGGUUUGAAAUUGGGCGACUCUCCUCUCUUUUCCGUUGUGAACUCGUACAAUUGUAGCUGACAACCUUAUCCCUUCACGAAAUUCGAAUUUCGAAUUCAAAUUUCGAAUCCAAUUCCAUUCCUCCUUUAAAUCAACCCUUAUAUUCCUCUAUUUAAAGCCCUCACCCUCUUCAUUCUAAAGGGGGAAGAAAAAUUUGAAAAUUCUUUUUGGAGAUAGCUGAUAUUGAGUUGGAAAAAGUGGGGAAAAAAGGUUGGGGAAAUUUUUUUUCUGGAAAGAAUUUUCAUAGAAAGAAUCGCUCUGCUACAACAUAAGAAAUACAUCUUAAAUAUAUAAUCUCUUUACUUAUUCGCGUGUUGCUGGGUAUUUGUCGGAUCUUUGGUGAAGUCGCGGUUCAUCUAAGCUCGUAGCUGUCCCGUUUCCUGCUUCGAAAAAAUCUUCAUGAACUUCUCCCCUCUCCUUGCAUUUCCUGAAUUGGGCCUAACAGGACCAACACUUCUCUCUAUCAAGUCCAAAAAUAGCCGACGAACAAUUUACAGGCAAUACAGGGGCUGGAAAUUAAUUAUCGAUGUCCAAAAGCUCAAAAAGGAGUUUUAUUCCUGCUGUAUAAAACGAUAUACACAGAAAAGACAGUGAUAUACAGGUUCAGUAUGGAAAGGCAGGUUGAUGAAGUCAGAAUUACAAAGUUCAAAUAAAAAUACAGGUUUCGGAAAGCCCAAAUGGGCUGGAUACUAGUCAUAUGCAACAGUAUACAUCAAAUGUAUACCAGAUUUUUCAGGAGAAAUGGGCCAAAGAUCAUUCAAAAUAGUCACUGGAUAAAAGCCCCAUUUCUCCAUUUCUGUAAAUAGCCAAAUUUAUACUCUCUCCCCUUUCCUAUUAAUUAUUUGUGAUUACGUUGACUAACAUUAUAUUUAUGAUUUGGUUUUAACUUAAUUAAUUUCCAAAAUAUAGUCAUAGCUUC
Solanum pennellii is the source of this 1160-nucleotide long non-coding RNA. RefSeq lists it as uncharacterized. The transcript has 2 exons. NCBI's taxonomy places the organism in Eukaryota, Viridiplantae, Streptophyta, Magnoliopsida, Solanales, Solanaceae. The record is from RefSeq and is a predicted model, not a curated record.